AUGCAGAUCUGGCUGUGGAAAGGAGACUGUAGGCAGCAAGUUUAGAGGCGUGACUGAAAGUCUCGCUGAGACCUGAGCUGCUGAAUCAGCUUUCUGGUUACUAUGGGCAAUGGCUGUGUUUUCUUUUUGAUGUCCUUUGCAGUGGAUCACAGCUAUCUGCUGAGGAUCACCACGAUGAAUGACACGGUAACUAUCUGGACCAGGAAGUUCAUGACCAAUCGACCGCUCCAGAGGAAACAAAUGGUCACCAAUGUCCUUCACCACGGAAAUGCAACAAAAUGUACAAGAUCAUAAUAGGUGUCAUCUUCAUAUUAAUAGUUGGACUCAGAACCCAUGUUGGUGGUGGUUAAACAAUGGGCUUUGGCAUGCUAUCUGGUUCUUUGAAUUAUGCAAAGAAAAAUGAACUCAAACAUAGACUUGCAAGACACAGCUGACAUGAGAAGAAAACGACCUCGAGAAAACAGCAAAAGGAAUGCAAGGGCAGAAUGAAGUCAAGAGACUGCAAAGGCCAAUGUCAGUGCUGGCAAAAAGCAAAAGGAGUAAAGAUUUUGCAAUGACUUUAUUUGCAGUGACUGUACAAAUUUUGCAUGAGAUGAUCAAUCAGCUGUAAAGACUUUUACAUAUAUAUAAAACAUCUUAAUAUUUUUCAUCAUCUUUGAUUUCCUAGAUGUUCUAGAAACUGAUUUUUAGUGAGAAAAAAACUACAUUUAUCUGAGUUGACCAGUUCCUUCAGUUUCAUUUCCAUUUCUUUUUCUUCUGAUAAAUUUACACGGCAUUCAA
Molecule: long non-coding RNA, 780 nt
Organism: Homo sapiens (human)
Lineage: Eukaryota; Metazoa; Chordata; Mammalia; Primates; Hominidae
Source: Ensembl